AGCUCCUGAAGAGAGGACUGAGGGAAGGCAGGAUCUCUCCCAUCAACAGCUGCCUGAAGGUCUCUCGCUGAGCGAAAGGAGAACCGGCUUCUGAUUGACCCUGAGAGGGAGGCAUUUCCCCUUCUCACACACUAAUCCAGUUUAUUUGGGUUGAUUCCCUGUGUUUGGUUUAUGGACUGUCCCUUAAUGGGGGAGACUCAGAACUAACCAAGGCAUGAGAGGAGGCAGCUGCCGACCCAAGAGCGGGAGAGUUACCAUGCCACAAAGAGGUGCCUGGCGCACUGACACUUUUUGAGACUAGAUCCCAGGG
Mauremys reevesii (Reeves's turtle) is the source of this 310-nucleotide long non-coding RNA. RefSeq lists it as uncharacterized. NCBI's taxonomy places the organism in Eukaryota, Metazoa, Chordata, Testudines, Geoemydidae. The record is from RefSeq and is a predicted model, not a curated record. The transcript is spliced from 2 exons.